AUGGGACUGUACAGAAUCGGAGGGGUCAACUCCAAAGUGCAGAAGCUGAUGACCAUGGUCUUUUCUUCCAAAGCACCUGUGGAUAUGGACCUGGAUCCAGAGACGUGGGACAACAAAACCAUCACCAGUGGCCUAAAGAAUUACCUCAGGUGUCUCUCUGAGCCUCUAAUGACCUUCAAGCUCCACAAAGAUUUUAUCAUGGCUGUCAGUAAGUUCUGGAAAGUCACUACAAUG
Plectropomus leopardus (leopard coralgrouper) is the source of this 234-nucleotide non-coding RNA. The record is from RefSeq and is a predicted model, not a curated record. Lineage: Eukaryota; Metazoa; Chordata; Actinopteri; Perciformes; Serranidae.